This 446-nucleotide ribosomal RNA is filed under the name Villeneuvia aestuum. Its description in RNAcentral is "partial 16S ribosomal RNA". Lineage: Eukaryota; Metazoa; Arthropoda; Insecta; Diptera; Muscidae. The record is from RNAcentral.
UUUAAAUGGCCGCAGUAUACUAACUGUGCAAAGGUAGCAUAAUCAUUAGUCUUUUAAUUGAGGGCUAGUAUGAAUGGUUGGACGAGAUAUUAACUGUUUCAUAAAAAUUUAUUAUAGAAUUUUAUUUUUUAGUCAAAAAGCUAAAAUUUAUUUAAAAGACGAGAAGACCCUAUAAAUCUUUAUAUUUAUUAUUUAAUAGUUUUAUAGUUUUUUUUUGCUAUUAUAUUUUAUAUUAUUUUAUUGGGGUGAUGUUAAAAUUUGUUAAACUUUUAAUUGUUGAAUUCAUUAAUUUAUGAAUUAUUGAUCUUUUAUUAAUGAUUAAAAAAUUAAGUUACUUUAGGGAUAACAGCGUAAUUUUUUUGGAGAGUUCGUAUUGAAAAAAAAGAUUGCGACCUCGAUGUUGGAUUAAGAUAUAUUUUUGGGUGUAGUCGCUUAAAUUUUAAGUC